This 468-nucleotide ribosomal RNA is filed under the name uncultured bacterium. RNAcentral describes it as "partial 16S ribosomal RNA". It matches the Rfam family "Bacterial small subunit ribosomal RNA", at positions 28 to 507 of the family's 1533-position model. The record is from RNAcentral.
GACGAACGCUGGCGGCGUGCUUAACACAUGCAAGUCGAACGGAAAGGCCCUGCUUUUGUGGGGUGCUCGAGUGGCGACCGGGUGAGUAACACGUGAGUAACCUGCCCUUGACUUUGGGAUAACUUCAGGAAACUGGGGCUAAUACCGGAUAGGAGCUCCUGCUGCAUGGUGGGGGUUGGAAAGUUUCGGCGGUUGGGGAUGGACUCGCGGCUUAUCAGCUUGUUGGUGGGGUAGUGGCUUACCCAGGCUUUGACGGGUAGCCGGCCUGAGAGGGUGACCGGCCACAUUGGGACUGAAAUACGGCCCGGACCCCUACGGGAGGCAGCGGUGGGGAAUAGUGCACAAUGGGCGGAAGCCUAAUGCAGCAACGCCGCGUGCGGGAUGACGGCCUUCGGUUUGUAAACCGCUUUCGCCUGUGACGAAGCGUGAGUGACGGUAAUGGGUAAAGAAGCACCGGCUAACUACGUG